RNAcentral lists this long non-coding RNA (657 nucleotides) under Lathyrus oleraceus (garden pea). RNAcentral's name for it is "Pisum sativum (pea) long non-coding RNA (PSAT_LNC023254)". Lineage: Eukaryota; Viridiplantae; Streptophyta; Magnoliopsida; Fabales; Fabaceae. The record is from RNAcentral.
UGCACAUGCUUUGAUGACACGGGAGCAGUUUCUGACUAAUGCAAAUUGGCCCGUGGACGUGCCAGUCUAUUCUGAGGGGGUGGGAGCUGACGCUGAUGAUGAUGAUGAGGAUGAUGAUGAGGCGACCGGUUCUGAGGCCGGUAGUGAGGAGGAGUCUUGAGCCCUUUGUGGGUUAAGUUUUUGUUUUUGUAUUUCAGUUUUUAUUAUGGCAUUUUUAUUUGUACUUUUGAAUUUUGUAUUUUGACCAUGGGUUGUACUAUUGGGGUGUUUUGUCCCCCACGAACAAAAUUUUAUUUUUCAGUUAAUGAUAUUUAUGUUUGUUGUUAAUUUUGUGUGUUUAAUAAAUUUUUGGUUGAAUGAGUGGCAAACCCUUCUAGAUUGGUUGCUCCUCAAGAAGUACCCAAUGAAGGUGCAUCCGAGCUUGGAUGGCAAUGAUAAGAAUAACAAGUGAAUGAAGCUAAGGUACAUGGUUACCGUCGGCUAGAAUUUUAGAAUGCAUUAGGAACUUUACUCUUUUUGGUAAAUUGAAUAUUGUCUUUUUGCAACAUAAUUGAAUGAAUGUUUCAUCUAGAACUUAAAACCACAAAGUGUGAGGAAACCUCCAUUGUACACUUAAAUGCUGGAUUCUAAUAAGUUUUGUUGAUUCAUUUGAUUCAU